CUACCAUGGCAAUCACGGGUAACGGAGAAUUAGGGUUCGAUUCCGGAGAGGGAGCCUGAGAAAUGGCUACCACAUCUACGGAAGGCAGCAGGCGCGAAAAUUGCCCAAUCCCGAUACGGGGAGGCAGUGACAAGAAAUAACAACUCUCAACUUUUGUUGAGAAGUGUAAUGAGGAUAAUUUACAAACCUUACCGAAAGCAAUUGGAGGGCAAGUCUGGUGCCAGCAGCCGCGGUAAUUCCAGCUCCAAAAGCGUAUAUUAAAGUUGUUGCAGUUAAAAAGCUCGUAGUUGAAGUUCUGGUUGUAUUGGGCCUCUGCACUUGAUGCGAAGGAACCAGCAGUCAUCCGCUUGCAAGUACAUGUCCUUCCUUAACCGGUAGGCUGUAUGAGUAAGUACUUUACCUUGAGAAAAACAGAGUGUUCCAGGCAGGUUUGUCCGGAAUGCGUUAGCAUGGAAUAAUAGAAUAUGACUGAAGUCGAUUUAUUGGUUAAAGGCUUUAGUAAUGAUUAAUAGGAACAAUCGGGGGCAUUGGUACUUGUCAGUCAGAGGUGAAAUUCUAGGAUUUGACAAAGACUAACUGAUGCGAAAGCGUUUGCCAAGAAUGUUUUCAUUAAUCAAGAACGAAAGUUAGGGGAUC
RNAcentral lists this ribosomal RNA (636 nucleotides) under uncultured eukaryote. RNAcentral's name for it is "SSU rRNA". It matches the Rfam family "Eukaryotic small subunit ribosomal RNA", at positions 341 to 999 of the family's 1831-position model. The record is from RNAcentral.